GGCUGAUCUGAGUCGAGUGGUAUUUUCAGCUAAUUGCUCACCACCAGUUACAGAUUGCUUUGUUCCUUCUCCACUCCCACUGCUUCACUCGACUAGCUUUUU
Molecule: Y RNA, 102 nt
Organism: Callithrix jacchus (white-tufted-ear marmoset)
Lineage: Eukaryota; Metazoa; Chordata; Mammalia; Primates; Cebidae
Rfam family: Y RNA
About the family: Y RNAs are components of the Ro ribonucleoprotein particle (Ro RNP), in association with Ro60 and La proteins. The Y RNAs and Ro60 and La proteins are well conserved, but the function of the Ro RNP is not known. In humans the RNA component can be one of four small RNAs -- hY1, hY3, hY4 and hY5.
Source: Ensembl